This 348-nucleotide unclassified non-coding RNA is filed under the name Hevea brasiliensis (rubber tree). The record is from RNAcentral. Lineage: Eukaryota; Viridiplantae; Streptophyta; Magnoliopsida; Malpighiales; Euphorbiaceae.
AUUCUUGUCACCUUAAAAACACUCAAAAAUCAUACAAAUUUUCAGUUACAAAUCUUGAAUUUUUUUCCACUUUUACCAUUUCCCCAUUCUUGAUUUGCAAAAAAAGCUAUGAAAUUGUACAAACAGUCAAGUAGAAGAGAUGAGGAUUUACCCAAUUCUCAACCAUACUCACCAAAGACCUUGAAAUACCCAAGAGGAUCUCUUCCCAGAUCCAUCAAUUAUCUCCUCAAAGAACAAAGACUUCUGUUCAUUCUUGUUGGUAUUCUAAUUGGUUCAACUUUUUUCAUCAUUCAACCUAGUCUAUCUCAUCUUAGCACAUCUUCUGAACCACAUUCUUCAAUACCCAGG